This 243-nucleotide non-coding RNA is filed under the name Ruminiclostridium cellulolyticum. RNAcentral describes it as "Clostridium cellulolyticum T-box sequence". It matches the Rfam family "T-box leader". From Rfam's summary of the family: Uncharged tRNA acts as the effector for transcription antitermination of genes in the T-box leader family. T-boxes are found upstream of many aminoacyl-tRNA synthetase genes and some amino acid biosynthetic genes usually in Gram-positive bacteria. Lineage: Bacteria; Bacillati; Bacillota; Clostridia; Eubacteriales; Oscillospiraceae. The record is from RNAcentral.
AUAAAGGCUGUGAAUAAGAGGAGUAUACAGUUAGCUGAUACCCAAAGAGAGAAGUGGUUGGUGAAAAGCUUCGGAUCGGGACUGUAGAAGGUAGCUUGGGAGCUCUGCACCGAAGUAACAGUAGGCUGCAGCGGGGUUGCGAACGUUAACUCGUCAGAGAUCAUCAAUAGAUUUAUAGGAUUUGACCUGUAACAUUUAUUCGUGAAUUUUGGUGGUACCGCGAAACAUGACUUCGUCCAAAUA